AGAGUUUGAUCAUGGCUCAGGACGAACGCUGGCGGCGUGCUUAACACAUGCAAGUCGAGCGAGGCCCAUCUUCGGGUGGUGCCCUAGCGGCGAACGGGUGAGUAACACGUGGGCAACCUGCCCUCAGCUCUGGGAUAACUCCAAGAAAUUGGUGCUAAUACCGGAUGUGACCGCUGACCGCAUGGUCUGGUGGUGGAAAGAUUCAUCGGCUGAGGAUGGGCCCGCGGCCUAUCAGCUUGUUGGUGGGGUAAUGGCCCACCAAGGCGACGACGGGUAGCCGGCCUGAGAGGGUGACCGGCCACACUGGGACUGAGACACGGCCCAGACUCCUACGGGAGGCAGCAGUGGGGAAUAUUGCGCAAUGGGCGAAAGCCUGACGCAGCGACGCCGCGUGAGGGAUGACGGCCUUCGGGUUGUAAACCUCUUUCAGUAGGGACGAAGCGAAAGUGACGGUACCUACAGAAGAAGCACCGGCCAACUACGUGCCAGCAGCCGCGGUAAUACGUAGGGUGCAAGCGUUGUCCGGAAUUAUUGGGCGUAAAGAGCUCGUAGGCGGUCUGUCACGUCGGCUGUGAAAACCCGAGGCUCAACCUCGGGCCUGCAGUCGAUACGGGCAAACUAGAGUACUGCAGGGGAGACUGGAAUUCCUGGUGUAGCGGUGAAAUGCGCAGAUAUCAGGAGGAACACCGGUGGCGAAGGCGGGUCUCUGGGCAGUAACUGACGCUGAGGAGCGAAAGCGUGGGGAGCGAACAGGAUUAGAUACCCUAGUAGUCC
This 774-nucleotide ribosomal RNA is filed under the name uncultured bacterium. RNAcentral's name for it is "bacterial SSU rRNA". It matches the Rfam family "Bacterial small subunit ribosomal RNA", at positions 8 to 796 of the family's 1533-position model. The record is from RNAcentral.